Small nucleolar RNA from Jaculus jaculus (lesser Egyptian jerboa), 127 nucleotides. Its record names the gene SNORD22. It matches the Rfam family "Small nucleolar RNA SNORD22". From Rfam's summary of the family: U22 is a member of the C/D class of snoRNA which contain the C (UGAUGA) and D (CUGA) box motifs. Lineage: Eukaryota; Metazoa; Chordata; Mammalia; Rodentia; Dipodidae. The record is from Ensembl.
UCCCAAUGAAGAAACAUCCACAUGUCUUACUUCCUGUCCUAGUUCCAGAGCCUGAAAAGGUGAACCCACUGGAACUGGCUGGGGGAAAAGAGGAAAAUUUUGUUCCAAAAUGGACUGUCUGAGGGAU